This 253-nucleotide ribosomal RNA is filed under the name uncultured bacterium. RNAcentral describes it as "partial 16S ribosomal RNA". It matches the Rfam family "Bacterial small subunit ribosomal RNA", at positions 524 to 776 of the family's 1533-position model. The record is from RNAcentral.
UACAGAGGGUGCAAGCGUUAAUCGGAAUUACUGGGCGUAUAGCGUGCGUAGACGGUUGCGUAAGUCAGAUGUGAAAGCCCCGGGCUCAACCUGGGAAUUGCAUUUGAGACUGCGCAGCUAGGGUGCGGAAGAGGGAAGCGGAAUUUCCGGUGUAGCGGUGAAAUGCGUAGAUAUCGGAAGGAACACCAGUGGCGAAAGCGGCUUCCUGGUCCAGCACCGACGUUCAGGCACGAAAGCGUGGGGAGCAAACAGG